UCUAAUAUGGCAGAAAAGUGCAAUGGGUUUAAGCUCCAUACAUAAAGUAUAAAUCUUUUAUUAGAA
Molecule: transfer RNA, 66 nt
Filed under: Epilampra maya
Lineage: Eukaryota; Metazoa; Arthropoda; Insecta; Blattodea; Blaberidae
Description: tRNA-Leu
Source: RNAcentral